AGUGAACGCUGGCGGUAGGCCUAACACAUGCCCGUCGAACGGCAGCACAGUAAGAGCUUUCUCGUACGGGUGGCGAGUGGCGGUCGGGGGCGGAAUAGAUCCGAACUUACUUUUUCGUGGGGGCUAACGGCGGGAGCCUUCCGCUAAUCCCGCAUAACACCCGCAGGUUAGAGCAGGCGAUGUUCAGACCUUGCCCGGCUGAAUGACCCUGUGGCGGAUUAGCCAGUCUGCGGGGUAAAGGCCCCACCAGGCGGCGAUCCGUAGCUGGACUGCGAGGAUGAGCAGCCACACUGCAACGGAGACACGGUCCAGACUCCUACGGGAGGCAGCAGGGGGGAAUAUUGGACAAUGGGCGCAAGCCUGAUCCAGCCAUACCGCGUGGGUGAAGAAGGCCUUCGGGUUGUAAAGCCCUUUUGUUGGGAAAGAAAAGCAGCAGGUUAAUACCCCGCUGUUCUGACGGUACCCAAAGAAGAAGCACCGGCUAACUUCGUG
RNAcentral lists this ribosomal RNA (492 nucleotides) under uncultured bacterium. RNAcentral's name for it is "partial 16S ribosomal RNA". It matches the Rfam family "Bacterial small subunit ribosomal RNA", at positions 29 to 507 of the family's 1533-position model. The record is from RNAcentral.